RNAcentral lists this ribosomal RNA (459 nucleotides) under uncultured bacterium. RNAcentral describes it as "partial 16S ribosomal RNA". It matches the Rfam family "Bacterial small subunit ribosomal RNA", at positions 339 to 795 of the family's 1533-position model. The record is from RNAcentral.
CUACGGGCGGCUCCAGUGAGGAAUAUUGGACAAUGGGCGAGAGCCUGAUCCAGCCAUGCCGCGUGCAGGAAGACUGCCCUAUGGGUUGUAAACUGCUUUUAUACAGGAAGAAUAAGCCUUACGUGUAAGGUGAUGACGGUACUGUAAGAAUAAGGACCGGCUAACUCCGUGCCAGCAGCCGCGGUAAUACGGAGGGUCCGAGCGUUAUCCGGAAUUAUUGGGUUUAAAGGGUCCGUAGGCGGAUGAUUAAGUCAGGGGUGAAAGUUUGCAGCUCAACUGUAAAAUUGCCUUUGAUACUGGUUAUCUUGAGUUGUAUUGAAGUAGGCGGAAUAUGUAGUGUAGCGGUGAAAUGCAUAGAUAUUACAUAGAACACCAAUUGCGAAGGCAGCUUACUAAGUACUAACUGACGCUGAUGGACGAAAGCGUGGGUAGCGAACAGGAUUAGAUACCCCCGUAGUC